AUGAAAACAAUGGCAACAAGAAAAAGGUGUAAACUUUCCAGAACAGGCCCAGAAUUUGAAAAUGUGAUAAAGAGGUUAUUGUGCGCCCGAACUUUUCACACAAGAAUUGGAGGAGAUUUAACACAUGGAAUAAUAAACAGAGGAAGGCGGGCUAAUGCAGAGCAGAUGGGCCUGCAGGGCAGUGCUCAGCAUUUCAACAUCUUUCCCCUGGACCUUUGGACCCAAGGUAAGAAAACUGAAGUUCAGAAAAGGGAGGGGACUGACUCAAUCCCAGCUGCUGGCAGAUCUGGGACUGCAAACCAGCCUUCCAUUGCUCCACACAGGUGUCUCUUCUCACGUGGAAUCACAGCAUUGGAUGGACUGAAAAGAGGAAGAGGCUGCAAUGGAGCAGCACACCUGGUGCGUGGGGAUGCCUGGAAAACAAAAUUAGGAGAGCCCUGGGUCAGCAUUGCUCUGGCACUGGCUGGGCCGGGGGCCAUCCUGAUUCUAGAAUUAUCUUGGUUCCUGGGAUAG
RNAcentral lists this long non-coding RNA (513 nucleotides) under Homo sapiens (human). RNAcentral describes it as "APRG1 tumor suppressor candidate (ENSG00000198590.12)". The record is from RNAcentral. Lineage: Eukaryota; Metazoa; Chordata; Mammalia; Primates; Hominidae.